Silurus meridionalis is the source of this 2210-nucleotide long non-coding RNA. RefSeq lists it as uncharacterized. The record is from RefSeq and is a predicted model, not a curated record. NCBI's taxonomy places the organism in Eukaryota, Metazoa, Chordata, Actinopteri, Siluriformes, Siluridae. The transcript has 3 exons.
CUUAUAUCAUUUGCAACUGGAGUUAGCGAGCUCUCCCUUCACCCUGACUCAACGCGCUACAACGGCUAGUUUCUAAACAGUAGUCGACCAAGAAAUUCAUUGUUCACUGUCUUCCUCCUUCCUUACACAACUAUUUCUCUCUGGAGUUUAUCUUUUUGCAUCGUUGUGCAUUUAAAAAUCAACACCGGUGAAAGUUUUUCUCCCGAAGCCAUGCAGCUCAGAACACAGUUGAGGUGCGUUUUUUCGUUUCGGUUCGGAAAAUUUCAUUAGUCUAAUGUUAUGUCGCUCAGUUUUUUAGCUAGAAGUUUGUGAAACCGGAAAAACCCAGGAUAAAAUCCAUUUUAGCCGCGGGGUUCAAAACGUGGGAAAAAAGUAUCGGCGUAUAGUCCGAAAAAUACAGUAGUCAUUCGUUCAUAAUUCAGCAGCACAGUGCAAAAAUCAUGCAGAUGCUGGUUAAGAGCUUCAGUUAAUGUUCAGAAUUACAAUAAUGUCAAUGUAAUUAUCAGAAUAGGGGAAAUUGUGAUCUGUGGCUUUAACUGUUGCAUGGUUGCUGGUACCAGGUGGGCUAUUGGGGUACCAGAUGGGGUAUUUCAGAAACUGCUGGUAUUAUUGGAUUUUCACAACAAAUAAACAUUCUGUGAAGGAAAGGUUUGCAGGAUAAAACAGCUUAUUGAGAGAGAUCAGAGGAUAAUGACCAAACUGGUUGUAGCUGACUAAAGGCAGGAUUCUCAAAUAUGCACACUUUGUCUUAGCACACACAACACUUCCUAGCUUGAGGGCAAUCGGCUACAAAAGCAGAAUACCACAAGAAUUUGUACUCUUGUCAACCAAGAAUGUUAUUAUAUCAUGCGCAGAGACUUAACAAAAUUAAAUAUUUAAAGAUGUGAAAAGGCCGGCUACAACCCCCCAACCGCCUUUAAAUUUUAUCUGCCCAGUUUGGGUGCGUUUGAUAUAUCCUGUUCUUAGCUUACAUGAGUAGAACUCAUUGGGGUGUUCUGCUAUUGUAGCUGUUAUAGCAAUGUUUGGUGCAUGAUGAGAUGCUUUUCUGUAAUAAGUGAUAAUUCAAGUUAUAAUAUCCAUCCUUUCAUCUUAGACCAGUUUAGUUAUUACCCUCUGAUCUCUUGUCAACAAUAAAUUUCCCACAGACCUAUUGCUAAGUCAAAAAUGUUUUUUUCACCAUUCAUCGUGAACUCAGGAGUUAUGUGUAAACAGAGCAGCAGUGUGUAAAAUUCUAAGUUUAGUCCUUCUGGAAUCAAUAUCCAUGUCACAAUCAAAAUCACAGUAAUCCUUCUGAUUUAUUUUCAUAGUGAUGUUUGAUGUUAAUAUUAACAGAAGUUCUUGUCUUAUCUGCAUAAUUUAAUUGUAUCGUGCUACUGCCACAUUAUUGUCAACUGCAUUAGAAAACUGCAUGAAUGUACAGGUGUUUAUAGGUAAAAUGAAUAGUUGGUGUGCAUCCAACAUAGCAUAAAUGCUUAGCAUUAUUUUCUGGACCUAUUACCCAGCCAACAUGUCCAUGUGGGACCACAUGGGUUUUAUCUGGGUUAUAUGGGCAUCACGUGGGCAUGGGGUCAGAGUGGGCACUUUGAUGGGCUGAAUGUGGGCCCCAGUUUAGUCAGGUUUGUGGGCCCCAGUUAGGUUGCCCAUCUUGUUUAUUUGAGGGCCACAUUUGGGCUAUAUUUAGCACAAUUUUGAUAAAAGAAAUCUAUCAUUCAAUUUAUCAUUUGAUGAUGAAUUCAAUUGAUAUGUUUUUUGUGUGUUUUAUAAGAUCAAUAAAUUAACAAAAAAAUUAUAUAUUAACAAUAACAUAGUAUGACCUUUAGUCAAAAAAAAAAGAAUCGGUUGUGCAGAUCACAGCGCCUCCCAUUGGCUCCUGUGCUCCCACCUUCUCAUUCUGAAGAAACUCACUACCACUAGAGCACCUGUCCUGACCUGGAUAACCUGACAUCUCUGUCACGGGAGCCUGAAGCAUAACCAUUUGCUGAAAACUGUCAGUAAGAAAGAGCUGGAGAAAACGCUUGGUGAAUGGUUCACUAAUGCAAAAGACAGAGAAAGCAACCGUGCUUUGAAAGCCCAGUGGGACCAUGAUCGAAAGGGCAGUACAGCCGGAAGUGUGUGCAGCCAAGUAAUCUGCAUAGACCCACCAGUGAACUAUUCUACUUUAGUAAUUCUGUUAUUCCUGUUUCCUGUUUUUUUUACUGGAAUUAAUUUAA